UCAAGCUACUAAGGGCAUACGGUGGAUGCCUAGGCGCCAAGAGCCGAAGAAGGACGCGGUAAGCUGCGAAAAGCCACGGGGAACUGCAAGCAAGUAUUGAUCCGUGGAUAUCCGAAUGGGGAAACCCGGCCAUCGUCAUGGAUGGUCACCCGCAAGGGAGGGAACCUGGGGAACUGAAACAUCUAAGUACCCGGAGGAAGAGAAAUCAAACGAGAUGCCCACAGUAGCGGCGAGCGAAGAGGGCAGAGCCCAAACCGAGAAGCUCCGGCUUUUCGGGGUUGAGGACCGGCAGAAUCGAAGUCAGGCCUAGUCGAAUUACCUGGAAAGGUAAGCGAGAGAGGGUAAAAGCCCCGUAGACGAAAGGCAGAGCAGAGAGGCCGAGAUCCAGAGUACCACGAAGCACGAGGAAUUUUGUGGGAAGCAGGGGGGACCACCCUCCAAGGCUAAAAACUACUUGGCGACCGAUAGCGCAUAGUACCGUGAGGGAAAGGUGAAAAGAACCCCGGGAGGGGAGUGAAAUAGUACCUGAAACCGUAUGUCUACAAGCAGUCGAAGCGAAAGCGACGGCGUGCCUAUUGAAGAAUGAACCAACGAGUUAUCUGCACUAGCGAGGUUAAGUGGAAGACACGGAGCCGCAGCGAAAGCGAGUCUUAAGAGGGCGCUAGUUAGUGUAGGUAGACCCGAAACCGCAGUGAUCUACCCAUGUCCAGGUUGAAGCGCAGGUAAAAUUGCGUGGAGGACCGAACCGGUGAGCGUUGAAAAGCUUUCGGAUGAGAUGUGGGUAGGGGUGAAAUUCCAAUCGAACGCGGAGAUAGCUGGUUCUCCCCGAAAUAGCUUUAGGGCUAGCCUGAGGUAGUAAGUAUAGGCGGUAGAGCACUGAUCGGGCUAGGGGCCGUAAAGGUUACCGAACCCUGUCAAACUCCGAAUGGAUAUACUGUAGAGCCUUGGAGUCAGACUACGAGUGAUAAGAUCCGUGGUCAAAAGGGAAACAGCCCAGACCACCAGCUAAGGUCCCCAAUGUCGUACUAAGUGGAAAAGGAUGUGGGGUUUCAUAAACAACCAGGAUGUUGGCUCAGAAGCAGCCACCAUUUAAAGAGUGCGUAAUAGCUCACUGGUCGAGAGACCCUGCGCCGAAGAUUCCCGGGGCUAAAGUACGAAACCGAAGCUGUGGCUGUAUACGUAAAGUAUACGGGGUAGGGGAGCGUUCCCAUAGGGUAGAAGUCGAACUGGAAGGUUCGGUGGACUUGUGGGAAGUGAGAAUGUUGGUAUGAGUAGCGAAAAGAAAGGUGAGAAUCCUUUCCACCGAAAGCAUAAGGAUUCCUGAGCAACGAUCGUCGUCUCAGGGUAAGUCGGGACCUAAUCCGAGGCAGAGAGCGUAGGAGAUGGACAACUGGUUGAUAUUCCAGUACCGGUAGUAAUUGUUUGAGCAAUGGAGUGACACAGAAGGGCAGGCAAGCAUGCGAAUGGAAGAGCAUGUGUAAGCGUGUAGGGUGGUGCAUAGGCAAAUCCGUGCACUGAAAGCCUGAGGCGUGAUGCGGAGUGAGCAGAGAUGCGAGCGAAGUUGUUGACCCCACACUGUCGAGAAAAGCUUCUAGUGAGAGAGCUACCGCCCGUACCGUAAACCGACACAGGUAUGCGGGGAGAGAAUCCUAAGGUGCGCGGGAGAACCCUCGUUAAGGAACUCGGCAAAAUGUACCCGUAACUUCGGGAUAAGGGUAGCCACUGUUGUGAAGUCCCAUGCGGAUGGAGCAUAGAGUGGUCGCAGAGAAGAGGCCCAAGCGACUGUUUACCAUAAACACAGGUGCCUGCUAAAGCGAAAGCUGACGUAUAGGUGCUGACACCUGCCCAGUGCCGGAAGGUUAAGGAAGGAUGUUCGGAUUAGUCCAAAGCAUUCGACUGAAGCCCCGGUGAACGGCGGCCGUAACUAUAACGGUCCUAAGGUAGCGAAAUUCCUUGUCGGGUAAGUUCCGACCCGCACGAAAGGUGUAACGAUUUGGGCACUGUCUCAACAUUGGGUUUUGAUACAUUACGUACAGGAUAGGUGGGAGGCAUGGAAAGCUGGACGCUAGUCUGGCUGGAGCCGACGUUGGGAUACCACCCUUGAUGUAUUGAAAUUCUAACCGCGAGAGUAACGAAAUCCGGGACAGUGUCAGGCGGGCAGUUUGACUGGGGCGGUCGCCUCCGAAAGAGUAACGGAGGCGCCCAAAGGUUCCCUCAGCGCGGCCGGAAAUCGCGCGAAGAGUGUAAAGGCAGAAGGGAGCUUGACUGCGAGUCAAACACGACGAGCAGGUACGAAAGUAGGGCUUAGUGAUCCGGUGGUACCGAGUGGAAGGGCCAUCGCUCAACGGAUAAAAGCUACCCUGGGGAUAACAGGCUAAUCUCUCCCAAGAGUCCAUAUCGACGGGGAGGUUUGGCACCUC
Molecule: ribosomal RNA, 2420 nt
Filed under: human gut metagenome
Description: bacterial LSU rRNA
Rfam family: Bacterial large subunit ribosomal RNA
Source: RNAcentral